This 3496-nucleotide long non-coding RNA is filed under the name Sus scrofa (pig). RNAcentral's name for it is "lncRNA (ENSSSCG00030031783.1, ENSSSCG00060049416.1)". Lineage: Eukaryota; Metazoa; Chordata; Mammalia; Artiodactyla; Suidae. The record is from RNAcentral.
GGAACUUAGAAAUCAGCUGUCCCCUCAACCAGCCUCCUUGGGAUGGCGCCCUGUAGCUCUGUGCAGUCUCCAAAGGGAAUUCACAGGCUACGGACAAUGGUGAGCAGUGUGGAGUUUUCUGGUGAUUUUAUCAGGGAAAUAGAAGAGGCAACUUAACGUGAGACAUCAAUAGUAUGUCAUUUAAAAAUGCUCCUUGGAUAUGUUUGUUUUCCAAACCUCCUCCCUCCUAUCUGGGACCCGAGGUAGUUUUCCUCUCUGUGUGGCUUCCGCUGGGUUCUCAGCCUCCACUGUUAAUAAUGUAGCUACCGAGACCAGUCCCCCUUGAAGGCAAUGGUGAGUGACACAACAUGGCAACAAAAUAUUUCUGUUACACCAGCAAAAAUCCUUAAGGAGAGGUGACCGCUCCCAUGCACGUGGUUCUAUGCAGUCUUCUCUGCAGCCCUGGAGGGUAGGGUCACUCUCCACAGCUGAAGGGCAAGAGAACUAAAGUCUAGGAAGCUUUACUGUUAGCUUGCAAAAAAGAGGUGAAAUAGAACCCAAAUCAUCUGCCUCCACAUCAGGGUUAUUCUUGCACCACACAGGAAACCAGGCGCUUUUGGACACAGAACAUCUAGGAGGAGGGAAGCGACUGCUGCCCUUUCAUUAUCAUCCUAAUUACAUAAGAAUAAUAAAUUUUGACAAGAAUGAGUUCAGAGGUGAUGAUUUUAUCCUGUUCACUACUUUCUGGAAAGGGUGUGUUCUAAGAGAGGAAGUGACCAGGCUGAAGGACAUCAGGGACUCUUAGCUAAGAAAGAGUCUCACAUGGGGUCUUUUUCUACAACUGUUAUUUUGUUCAACGGAUUUGGUCAGCAGGGGUUCCCUUUGAUUAUGAAACAGAGGAAGAAGACAAUCUUUUCUUAACAAGAAUAUACAUGUGCCGUGAGAGAGAUGAAGCAGAAGAUUAAGCAAGAAACUCAGCUAUUUUAUUGCCCUAAGGCAUUACUCAUUUUCCUGACACAUUAUGUUUUUAAUUAAAAUUGCAUGUGAGUUAAUUAAAAUAUUCACUCGGGCACUUUUUUCCCUCCUCUUUCAUGGGUUCCUUUUUACUCUUUAAGCUUUUCGAUAAAACUCAGUUUCAUUUUAACUUUGCUGCCUUAAUCAGCUGCAACUCUAGCAGAGAAUCUGUAUACAAAACUACCUUUAAAAAAAUCCUAAUUUAAAAAUUUCAUCCUUAAGUGGCCAGGGGAAAGGGAGGUGGCCAGGGGUGGAAUCAUUAUGGUUUACAUAUUCCUUCCUGCUUACUUAAACAAAAACAUGAGAUUGGCGUUGAUAGAAAGCAUAUUAAAAAGGAGUCCUUUGAUUUUUCUUGUGACAGACAUGUUUAUCCCUCUACAAUCCUUUGUUCUGGAAAGAAUCAUCAUUGAUGGCACUUAUGGUUGCAUAUCCUCAGCUUUCCCUGUUUACAGCCGAUAGACUAGCCCUUGGUAGACAUUUAUCUAGUACAAUCUAUCCAUUGACAGGCCAGUAACUCUGACAGACAGAAUCCCUCUCAAAAAUGUUGAUAUAGAGACACAGUGGUCAUUGAUGGGGUCUCUGUUGGACUCAUGAGGACAAAUAGGCCAGAGCUGGAGGCCAGGUUGUUUCAUUUGCAAGCAGAGGAGGUUUAUUGAAAGGAAGAAAAGACAGAAAGAAUGAGAGUUUCGGCUCCCUGGCUUCUGAGCUAGGUAGGAGCGGAUCUUUGGUUCUGGUGUCCUGCUUUGCCACUUCCAUGAGGCCUGGCUGAGUCGUCACUGUGUCCUUGAGGUGUUUUGGGGGACUUUCUUUUUUUGUUUUACAAGAGGUUCCUCUUUUUCAGAGUUAGCUAAACUGAAUUUUGGAUCCUUGUAAACAAUGAGCUCUGACUGAAAAAUCCAUGAUGCUUCAAAAUGCUAUCUAUCCCUCAGCAGCCCUGAGAGAAAAUAUUUAUUUAUUUAUACCUUUUAUUUAUAUAUAUAUUUUUCUACUGUACAGCAUGGUGACCCAGUUACACUUACAUGUACACGUUCUUUUUUUCUCACAUUACAUGUUCCAUCAUAAGUGACUAGACAGAGUUCCCAGUGCUACACAGCAGGAUCCCAUUGCUAAUCCAUCCCGAAGGCAACAUUCUGCAUCUACUUACCCCAUAGAGAAAAUAUUUAAAAGCAAAAUCAAGAGUUCCCAUUGUGGUGCAGUGGAAAUGAAUCUGACUAGGAACCAUGAGGUUGUGGGUUUGAUCCCUGGCUUCGCUCAGUGGGUUAAGGAUCCGGCGUUGCCUCAACUGUGGUGUAGGUCAAAGGUGCGGCUUGGUCCCACAGCAAUGCGGAAUUCAAGCUGCAUCCACAAUCCACACGACAGCUCAUGGCAACUCCAGAUCCUCAACCCACCAAGCAAGGCCAGAGAUUGAACCUGCAUCCUAAUGGAUGCUAGUCAGAUUGUUUCUGCUGAGCCACAACGGGAACUGCUUUUUAAAUUAUUUUUUAUUUAUUUUAAUUUUUUGGCUGCACCUGCAACAUGCAAAAGUUCUCAGGCCAGGGAUCAUACCUGCACCACAACAGUGACUAGGUCAGAUCUUUAACCACUAUGCCACCAGGGAAUUCCAAGAGUAUUUUUUAAAAACAUCAGUCAAAUUUAUCAUUCAUGUGCUAAAAAUCCAGCAAGGACUCCCUAUUUUACUCACACUAGAAGCCUAAAUCCUCACAAUGGCUAACAAGAGCCUCAGAGAAGGCACAGUACCAGACACAGUCACUCUACUGCUCCUUCAGAACCAGACACAGUCACUCUACUGCUCCUUCAGAACCCCAAGAAUACUCCCUGUUCCUUCAGCUUUCCUCUGAGGUAUUCAUAUGAUCAAUCCUUCACCUCAUUUUAAUGAGGUUGACCUUGACCAUCUAUUUAAAAUUGCAACCUGCAUCCUGAUGCCUUGUAACCAGCUCUGUUUUGUUUUCUACAGUGCUUCUUAUCAUUUUCUAAUGCAUGAUUGACAUUUUUAUUAUUUGUUUAUUCUGCUUUUAUUCUAUUGAUUGUCUCUCACAUAUGCAAAUGUAAUCUCCCCCUAAAAUUAGGAGUUUCAUAUGGUUUUUGCAUUAAUAUUUUCUGUGCAUCUAGAACAGCUUGCCUAGCAUGUAGUAGGUGCACAGUCAGUAUUUGUUGAAUGGGUGAAUGAAGGCGCCUAAGCUAGGGAGAUUGAGGAGGCAAAGGUGACUAGGAUUUGCAUGGACAAGUAUAAGAUGAAGAGUUCCAAAAUCUGGAGUUCCUGUCGUGGCUCAGUGGUUAGCAAACCCGACUAGCAUCCAUGAGAAUGCAGGUUCGAUCCCUGGCCUCACUCUGUGGGUUAAGUAUCCAGCAUUGCCAUGAGCUGUGGUGUAGGUCACAGACACGGCUCAGAUCCCGCGUUGCUGUGGCUGUGGCAUAGGCCAGUGGCUAUAGUUCCAAUUGGACCUGUAGCUUGGGAACCUCCAUAUACCGUGAGUUCGGCCUUAAAAAGACAAAAAAAAAAAAA